CUGGAAAAGCGGGUUCCGGAGUUUCACACGCGAAAUGUAGUAAGAAAGAGACACAGAAAGGGGGAGAUGAGCCCUUAAGUACAGGCAACCCUAGGCUUCAGGGGAAAGGGGCUGGCGAAAAACUCAACACAUUUUCUUAGAUAUUUCUAACAAAACAAAAGUUUCAACCCCUUGGAUAAAAGCCUGACUCUGUACCUGGUGUUCAGUUUGACUUGGAUUUCUUAACAGCAUCAAAAGGCAUUUCAAGAUAAAUCAGUCCACAAGCAUUUAUUAAGCCAUCUAACAUGUUCCAGGCACUGGGGAAACAACUACAAAGAAGAAAUAUAUCUGUACUCCCAAAGAACCAAUUUCAAAUUUGUGUUCCUUUUUUUAGUAUAUAAGAAAAGUAGAAACACUGUCUUUUUCCAGCUGACUUUCUAUGAAGCUAAGUGUAGAUGUUUUUUUUGUUAGAAAAUUAAAAUUAUGUAACAUUUCACUUUUUGCUUUAAAUUAUUAGUCUAAUAUAAUAUUCAUUUACAAUAAACAUUUUCUCUCAGGUACUUGGUAGUAGAUGCCUCUGCUCUCUUCAGAUAGCCAUUUAAAAACAAAAAUUAUUACUGACUACUCUAUUUCUGUACUAUGUGAAAACCUAUAAGCAACAGUUACAAAUUCUAAAAAAUAAUAAAAUAGUCACUUUGGGGGUCACAUAAUAUUUACACAUUACUAAAAUUGACAUUUGAUUAUGCUGAUAGAAAUCAAAACAUCAAGGAAUAUGAAGUUUAAGUGAUAUAACUUAUAAAAAGUGCUAGUAGUUCAUUAAUAUAUUAAGUAUAUACAUUGUAUCUUCUCUGCUUAUAAAAUAUGACAAAUAUUUUAGUUAUUUUCAUUUGGCAUCAUGAAGAAUCUUUGUAAAAUGAUAGAUCAUAAAUGGAAUACUAAUUUUCUAAGAUGGAUUAAACAAGUUAGCUAAUGAAUAAUGAUUUCUUUCAUGAAGUCUGUGCUUUGAAUGUAUAUACACACAUACAUAUACAUUCAUUUGCAGCAAACAAAUGAAAUUUUUGAUGAAAAAAAGCCAAAAUGGGGCUACAGUCAUACUAUUAUUAAGGUAAAUGCCUAAUAUAAAAGCUCAACUAAGAAGUUUCCUUGACCAUUAAUUUUUAAAGUAACCACAGGAAAUUGGUGAGAAACCAAAUAAGCCAAAUAAAUUAGUUCCUAACUAUCCUUUUUGUAUUAGUUCUGUCUUUAAUUUUUCCAUUUGCAACUUACUGCUUUUAUUAAGACACCAGCAAGGAAGAAAAGAUAAAAAAUAACUAUUUGUCAGCUUCUCUAGCAAAGGAAGGCCUAGGGUGGUAAAAACCAGUGAAACUCAUGUUUAAAUUAGUAUUUAGGAGAUUAUUUUUAAAUUUUUAUGUGCUGUAUAUUUCCCCACAAUCAGGUAUAGAACUGACUUUAGAAACAUGCAGUAGAGACUUUAAACAGUAUUCAGAUUAAUACAUGCAAUACAUGCAAAUUAAAAGAGAUGUCAUGAACAGAAAUCUGUGGAAAUUGAAACAAACAUUUAAAUCUUUCAAUGCAAAAAUGUGUUUUUUCAAAACUCAU
This is a long non-coding RNA of Phascolarctos cinereus (koala), 1578 nucleotides long. RefSeq lists it as uncharacterized. NCBI's taxonomy places the organism in Eukaryota, Metazoa, Chordata, Mammalia, Diprotodontia, Phascolarctidae. The record is from RefSeq and is a predicted model, not a curated record.